UACAGAGGUCUCAAGCGUUGUUCGGAUUCAUUGGGCGUAAAGGGUGCGUAGGUGGCGCCGUAAGUCAGGUGUGAAAUUUCGGAGCUUAACUCCGAAACUGCAUUUGAUACUGCGAUGCUUGAGGACUGGAGAGGAGACUGGAAUUUACGGUGUAGCAGUGAAAUGCGUAGAUAUCGUAAGGAAGACCAGUGGCGAAGGCGGGUCUCUGGACAGUUCCUGACACUGAGGCACGAAGGCCAGGGGAGCAAACGGG
Molecule: ribosomal RNA, 253 nt
Filed under: uncultured bacterium
Lineage: Bacteria
Description: partial 16S ribosomal RNA
Rfam family: Bacterial small subunit ribosomal RNA
Source: RNAcentral